Molecule: ribosomal RNA, 2821 nt
Filed under: human gut metagenome
Description: bacterial LSU rRNA
Rfam family: Bacterial large subunit ribosomal RNA
Source: RNAcentral
AGGGCGUACGGUGAAUGCCUUGGUGCCAACAGGCGAAGAAGGACGCGGCAAGCUGCGAAAAGCCUCGGGAAGCUGCAAGCAAGCGAUGAUCCGGGGAUAUCCGAAUGGGGUAACCUGAUCGAGGCAAUACUCGAUCGUUCAUACCUGAAUACAUAGGGUAUGAAACGCGAAACCCGCUGAAGUGAAACAUCUCAGUAAGCGGAGGAAAAGAAAGAGAAAUCGAUUCCGUAAGUAGUGGCGAGCGAAAGCGGAUGGAGCCCAAACCGAAGGUAUUCCUUCGGGGUUGUAGGACCACGACCUAUUCGACCAUACUGGAUAGUAGAACAGCCUGGAAAGGCUGGCCGUAGAAGGUGAAAGCCCUGUAGACGAAAUCCAGAGUGGGAAUUAGUGGUAUCCUGAGUAAUACAUCACACGUGGAACGAUGUAUGAAACCGCGCGGACCACCGCGCAAGGCUAAAUACUAGUUGGCGACCGAUAGUGAACAAGUACCGCGAGGGAAAGGUGAAAAGAACCGCUGUGAGCGGAGUGAAAUAGAACCUGAAACCGUAUGUCUACAAAGUGUCAGAGCAGAGCAAUCUGCGAUGGCGUGCCUUUUGUUUAAUGAGUCUGCGAGUCAGUGUUUGUGGCAAGACUAAGGGCUUCCGGCCCGGAGUCGCAGCGAAAGCAAGUCCGAACAGGGCGCAAUAAGUCGCAGGUACUGGACCCGAAGCGGAGGUGACCUACCCUUGGCCAGGUUGAAGCAUGGGUAAAACCAUGUGGAGGACCGAACAGGUGAACGUUGAAAAGUUCUCUGAUGAGCUGAGGGUAGGAGUGAAAGGCUAAUCAAACCCCGUGAUAGCUGGUUCUCUUCGAAAUGCAUUUAGGUGCAGCGUCACGUGCUGAUGCGCGGGGGUAGAGCACUGACAAGGCUAGGGGGCACACCCGCUUACCAAACCUUAUCAAACUCCGAAUACCGUGCAAUGGAACGUGGCAGUGAGACAGUGGGGGAUAAGCUUCAUUGUCGAGAGGGAAACAACCCAGACCAGCAGCUAAGGUGCCUAAAUAACGCUCAGUGGAAAGGAUGUGGGAUUACACAGACAGUGAGGAUGUUGGCUUAGAAGCAGCCACCAUUUAAAAAAUGCGUAAUAGCUUACUCAUCGAGUGAUCCUGCGCCGAAAAUGAUUGGCGAUCAAGCGUUAUACCGAAGCUCUGGACUUUGCCGCAAGGCAGAGUGGUAGAAGAGCGUUGCAUGCGCGUCGAAGGGUGAUGGCGACUGACCCUGGAGCACAUGCAAGUGAGUAUGCAGACAUGAGUAACGUUAAGCCGGGUGAAAUCCCCGGCCGCCGUAAACCCGAGGUUUCCAGGGCAACGUGUUUCGUCCCUGGGUUAGCCGGGACCUAAGCCGAGGCCGAGAGGCGUAGGCGAUGGACAUCAGGUUAAUAAUCCUGAGCUCGCGACCCUUAAACUGGGGGGACGCAUGAGAAAAGAUGACUAGGUUAUUGAAUUCCGAGUUGAGUCUACGGACUCAGCGCAUCAUUGGAUCGAGUGCCAAGAAAAGCCCCAGCGUAUGCUAAGCGACCCGUACCGCAAACCGACACAGGUGGGUGGGUAGAAUAUACCAAGGCGUAAGAGUGAAACCUGGUUAAGGAACUCGGCAAAUUAACCCCGUAACUUCGGAAGAAGGGGUGCCUGCAGCGAUGCAGGCCGCAGAGAAAUGGCCCAACCGACUGUUUAUCAAAAACACAGCACUCUGCAAAGACGCAAGUCGAAGUAUAGGGUGUGACACGUGACCAAUGCCGAAAGAUUAAGGCAAGGGGUUAGCCGCAAGGCGAAGCUCUGAACCCAAGUCCCGGUGAAUGUCGGCCGUAACUAUAACGGUCCUAAGGUAGCGAAAUUCCUUGUCGGGUAAGUUCCGACCUGCACGAAUGGCGUAACGACUUCUCCGCUGUCUCAACCGCGAACUCGGUGAAAUUGCAGUACGAGUAAAGAUGCUCGUUUCCCGCAGAAGGACGGAAAGACCCUAUAGACCUUAACUGUAAGCUGUCAUUGUUUCUUCGGUUUUAAUGCUCAGAGUAAGUGGGAGACGCUGAAGACGCCCUUUAGGGGGCGUCCGAGUCAUCAAUGAGACACCACCCUUUGAAACUGGAGGAUCUAACCCUGAGCCGUGAAUCCGGCCAGAGGACCGUGUCAGCCGGUCAGUUUUACUGGGGCGGUAUCCUCCCAAAGAGUAACGGAGGAGCGCGAAGGUGGGCUCAGCCCGGUUGGCAACCGGGUGUCGAGUGCAUGGGCAUAAGCCCGCCUAACUGUGAGACCAACAAGUCGAGCAGAUGCGAAAGCAGGCCCAAGUGAUCCGGCGGUAGAAAGUGGAAUUGCCGUCGCUCAACGGAUAAAAGGUACCUUAGGGAUAACAGGCUGAUCACGCCCAAGAGUUCAUAUCGACGGCGUGGUUUGGCACCUCGAUGUCGGCUCGUCGCAUCCUGGGGCUGGAGAAGGUCCCAAGGGUCCGGCUGUUCGCCGGUUAAAGCGGCACGCGAGCUGGGUUCAGAACGUCGCGAGACAGUUCGGUCCUCUAUCCUCUGUGGGCGUUGGAAAAUUGAGGGGUUCAGACCUUAGUACGAGAGGACCGGGUCUGACGCACCACUGGUGCAUCGGUUGUACUGUCAAGUGCAUGGCCGAGUAGCUAAGUGCGGACGGGAUAAGCGCUGAAAGCAUCUAAGCGCCAAGCCCUUCCCAAGAUGAGUUUUCCCUACAGGUUCGUGGAAGACCACCACGUUGAUAGGUCGCAGGUGUAAGUGCAGCAAUGUAUUGAGCCAAGCGAUACUAAUUACCAAUUGACUUCAUC